This 253-nucleotide ribosomal RNA is filed under the name uncultured bacterium. RNAcentral describes it as "partial 16S ribosomal RNA". It matches the Rfam family "Bacterial small subunit ribosomal RNA", at positions 524 to 776 of the family's 1533-position model. The record is from RNAcentral.
UACAGAGGUCUCAAGCGUUGUCCGGAGUUACUGGGCGUAAAGGGCAUGCAGGCGGUCGGACGCGUUUCGGGUGACAGCGGGUGGCUUAACUACCCGAGUGGUCGAAAGACGGUUUGACUUGAGGACGCGAGAGGGACACGGAAUUCCGGGUGGAGUGGUGAAAUGCGUAGAGAUCCGGAGGAACACCGAAGGCGAAGGCAGUGUCCUGGCGCGUAGCUGACGCUGAGGUGCGAAAGCCAGGGGAGCGAACGGG